Molecule: ribosomal RNA, 966 nt
Filed under: uncultured bacterium
Lineage: Bacteria
Description: bacterial SSU rRNA
Rfam family: Bacterial small subunit ribosomal RNA
Source: RNAcentral
UUUGGAUAGAAUCCGAUUGUGACGGUACCUUACCAGAAAGCUACGGCUAACUACGUGCCAGCAGCCGCGGUAAUACGUAGGUAGCGAGCGUUAUCCGGAAUUAUUGGGCGUAAAGGGUGCGUAGGCGGCUUGUUAAGUUUAAGGUGAAAGAAUGGGGCUCAACCCCAUAAAGCCUUAGAUACUGGCAAGCUAGAGUACUGGAGAGGGUAGUGGAAUUCCAUGUGUAGCGGUAAAAUGCGUAGAUAUAUGGAGGAACACCGGUGGCGAAGGCGGCUACCUAGACAGAGACUGACGCUGAGGCACGAAAGCGUGGGGAGCAAAUAGGAUUAGAUACCCUAGUAGUCCACGCCGUAAACGAUGAAUGCUAGAUAUCGGGGCAACUCGGUGUCGAAACUAACGCGAUAAGCAUUCCGCCUGUGGAGUAUGCACGCAAGUGUGAAACAUAAAGGAAUUGACGGGGGCCCGCACAAGCGGUGGAGUAUGUGGUUUAAUUCGACGCAACGCGAAGAACCUUACCAGGCCUUGACAUCCCUUGCAAAACUCUAGAGAUAGAGCAGAGGUUAUCAAGGUGACAGGUGGUGCAUGGUUGUCGUCAGCUCGUGUCGUGAGAUGUUGGGUUAAGUCCCGCAACGAGCGCAACCCUUGUCUUCAGUUACCAUCAUUAAGUUGGGGACUCUGGAGAGACUGCCGGUGAUAAACCGGAGGAAGGUGGGGAUGACGUCAAAUCAUCAUGCCCCUUAUGGCCUGGGCUACACACGUACUACAAUGGCUGUUACAACGUGAAGCAACACUGUGAAGUGAAGCGAAUCACUAAAAGGCAGUCUCAGUUCGGAUUGAAGUCUGCAACUCGACUUCAUGAAGUUGGAAUCGCUAGUAAUCGCGGAUCAGCAUGCCGCGGUGAAUACGUUCUCGGGCCUUGUACACACCGCCCGUCAUACCAUGAGAGCUGGCAAUACCCGAAGCCGG